This 94-nucleotide microRNA precursor is filed under the name Otolemur garnettii (small-eared galago). RNAcentral's name for it is "miRNA (ENSOGAG00000020998.2)". The record is from RNAcentral. Lineage: Eukaryota; Metazoa; Chordata; Mammalia; Primates; Galagidae.
AGGUGUGUGUGCCUGUGUGUGUUAUAAGUUUAGGAAGUGGGUAUGGCAUAUAUCUUAAGAUACACACACACACACACACACACACACACACACA